CAAUAAAUAACUUAAAUUUAAAGUAUUAAUUUUUUAAAUUAAUUAUAAUAUUAAAAUAUUUUUAUUGA
Molecule: transfer RNA, 68 nt
Filed under: Trichopria drosophilae
Lineage: Eukaryota; Metazoa; Arthropoda; Insecta; Hymenoptera; Diapriidae
Description: tRNA-Lys
Source: RNAcentral